Molecule: ribosomal RNA, 1318 nt
Filed under: Traulia nigritibialis
Lineage: Eukaryota; Metazoa; Arthropoda; Insecta; Orthoptera; Acrididae
Description: large subunit ribosomal RNA
Rfam family: Archaeal large subunit ribosomal RNA (bases 878-1246)
Source: RNAcentral
AUAUUUUAUAUAUUAUAUUAUUUUUUGUUUAUUAAGAUUUUUAAUAGAAAUAAUUUUAUAUUUUUUUGUCUAAGUAUAUUUUGUAGAAUUGAUUUUUUAUAUUAUAGUUUAUUAGUAAUGUAAUUGGAUUAUGAAAUAUUAUGUAGAUUUUUAAAAGUAAAUUUUAUUUAUUGUACCUUUUGUAUCAGGGUUUAUUAAUUUUUUUGUAUUUAUUUACUAUUCUCGAAUUAGUUUGAUUUACAAAUAAUUCUUAUUUAAUGUUUCAAAAUUAUUAAGGAAUUAUUUGUGGAAAUGAAAUGUUAUUCGUUUACUAAGGUAUCUAGUUUCUUAAGAAAAAAUUUAAUUUUUUAUAGUUUAUUUGUUUAUAUUUAAUUUUUUAAUUAUAAAUAUUAACUUAUUUAUUUUUUAGGGGAUAAGCUCUGAAAAUUAUAUUCUAUAAUUUAUAAAUUAAAAAUAAAAUAGUAGGCUUUAAAACAGCUAUCUCUAAGAUUACGUUUUAGUUUAUUGUUGUUUAAUUUGAUUUUAUAAUUAUUUUAGGUUUUAUAUUAAGAUGAUGAAUUUAAUUUUGAAAUUUUUGUAAUAAUGAUGGAAUUAGUAUAUUUAUUUUGUUUAUAAUAAUUAAUUUUGUUAAUUUAUUAUAAGGAAUUAGGCAAAGUUUAUAAUUUCCGCCUGUUUAUCAAAAACAUGUCCUCUUGAUUAUAUUUUGAGGUCUGGCCUGCUCACUGGCAAGAUUUUGAAGAGCCGCGGUAUUUUGACCGUGCAAAGGUAGCAUAAUCAUUAGUCUCUUAAUUAGAGGCUGGAAUGAAUGGCUUGACGAGAAAUUAACUGUCUCUUAAUAAUAUAUAAAAUUUAACUUUUAAGUUAAAAGGCUUAAAUUUUUCUUUAAGACGAGAAGACCCUAUAGAGCUUUACAUUUUACUUAUAUAUAAUUUUUAGUUUAUCUUUUUAUAUUUAAUGAUAAUGUUUUGUUGGGGUGACAUAAAGAAUAAAUAAACUCUUUAUUAUAAAAUCAUUAAUUUAUGUUUAUUUUGAUCCAUAAUUUAUGAUCAUAAAAUUAAGUUACCUUAGGGAUAACAGCGUAAUUGUUUUUGAGAGCUCAUAUCGACAAAGCAGAUUGCGACCUCGAUGUUGGAUUAAGAUAAAUUCUAGGUGCAGGAGCCUGGUAAUUAGGUCUGUUCGACCUUUAAAUUCUUACAUGAUCUGAGUUCAGACCGGCGUAAGCCAGGUCGGUUUCUAUCUUAAGAAAUAUUGUCCAUAUUAGUACGAAAGGACCAUAUGGACAAAAUAUUUUUUUAUUAUUGAUUUAAAUUAAUUAUGA